RNAcentral lists this ribosomal RNA (470 nucleotides) under uncultured Anaerolineaceae bacterium. RNAcentral describes it as "bacterial SSU rRNA". It matches the Rfam family "Bacterial small subunit ribosomal RNA", at positions 897 to 1382 of the family's 1533-position model. Lineage: Bacteria; Bacillati; Chloroflexota; Anaerolineae; Anaerolineales; Anaerolineaceae. The record is from RNAcentral.
AAACUCAAAGGAAUUGACGGGUCCCGCACAAGCAGCGGAGCGUGUGGUUUAAUUCGUUGCUACACGAAGAACCUUACCUGGGUUUGACAUAUAGGUUGUAGGGAACUGAAAAGGGACCGACCCUUCGGGGAGCCUAUACAGGUGUUGCAUGGCUGUCGUCAGCUCGUGUCGUGAGAUGUUCGGUUAAGUCCGCUAACGAGCGCAACCCUCGUCGUAUGUUAUAUGUGUCAUACGAGACUGCCGGUAAAAGCCGGAGGAAGGUGAGGAUGAUGUCAAGUCAGCAUGACCUUUAUAUCCAGGGCUACACACACGCUACAAUGGUCUGUACAAUGGGUAGCCAAGCCGCGAGGCGGAGCCAAUCCUGAAAGCAGGCCUCAGUUCAGAUUGCAGUCUGCAACUCGACUGCAUGAAGCCGGAGUUGCUAGUAACCGCAGGUCAGCAAUACUGCGGUGAAUACGUUCCCGGGUCUU